Molecule: transfer RNA, 35 nt
Filed under: Notopteris macdonaldii (long-tailed fruit bat)
Lineage: Eukaryota; Metazoa; Chordata; Mammalia; Chiroptera; Pteropodidae
Description: Notopteris macdonaldi (long-tailed fruit bat) partial tRNA-Phe
Source: RNAcentral
AAAUGCCUAGAUGAGUACUCACUACUCCAUAAACA